This 74-nucleotide transfer RNA is filed under the name Candidatus Omnitrophota bacterium. RNAcentral describes it as "tRNA-Pro". It matches the Rfam family "tRNA". From Rfam's summary of the family: Transfer RNA (tRNA) molecules are approximately 80 nucleotides in length. The record is from RNAcentral. Lineage: Bacteria; Pseudomonadati; Candidatus Omnitrophota.
CGGAAUGUGGCUUAACUUGGUAAAGCGCUCGUUUCGGGUGCGAGAGAUUCCGGGUUCAAAUCCCGGCAUUCCGA